This 101-nucleotide transfer RNA is filed under the name Bacteroides muris (ex Fokt et al. 2023). RNAcentral's name for it is "tRNA-OTHER". It matches the Rfam family "tRNA". From Rfam's summary of the family: Transfer RNA (tRNA) molecules are approximately 80 nucleotides in length. Their secondary structure includes four short double-helical elements and three loops (D, anti-codon, and T loops). Further hydrogen bonds mediate the characteristic L-shaped molecular structure. tRNAs have two regions of fundamental functional importance: the anti-codon, which is responsible for specific mRNA codon recognition, and the 3' end, to which the tRNAs corresponding amino acid is attached (by aminoacyl-tRNA synthetases). tRNAs cope with the degeneracy of the genetic code in two manners: having more than one tRNA (with a specific anti-codon) for a particular amino acid; and 'wobble' base-pairing, i.e. permitting non-standard base-pairing at the 3rd anti-codon position. The record is from RNAcentral. Lineage: Bacteria; Pseudomonadati; Bacteroidota; Bacteroidia; Bacteroidales; Bacteroidaceae.
GGGUAAUUAGCUCAGUUAGGUAGAGCGGUGCAUGGUAUUUGUCAUGGUAUUAUUUAAAGGUUUCAUGCACAGGUCACGGCGUUCAAGUCCCGUAUUACCCA